UACGUAGGGGGCAAGCGUUGUCCGGAAUCAUUGGGCGUAAAGCGCGUGUAGGCGGCCCGGUAAGUCCGCUGUGAAAGUCCAGGGCUCAACCCUGGGAUGCCGGUGGAUACUGUCGGGCUCGAGUCCGGAAGAGGAGUGUGGAAUUCCUGGUGUAGCGGUGAAAUGCGCAGAUAUCAGGAGGAACACCGAUGGCGAAGGCAGGUCUCUGGGCCGAUACUGACGCUGAGGAGCGAAAGCGUGGGGAGCGAACAGG
This 253-nucleotide ribosomal RNA is filed under the name uncultured bacterium. RNAcentral describes it as "partial 16S ribosomal RNA". It matches the Rfam family "Bacterial small subunit ribosomal RNA", at positions 524 to 776 of the family's 1533-position model. The record is from RNAcentral.